Molecule: non-coding RNA, 397 nt
Organism: Marmota flaviventris (yellow-bellied marmot)
Lineage: Eukaryota; Metazoa; Chordata; Mammalia; Rodentia; Sciuridae
Source: RefSeq, a predicted model, not a curated record
GGACCUACACAGAGCCAGAUCCUCAGUGUCACUCGUCUCCCUCCUGCACAUUUUGUCCCCCUGGAAGAUCUUCAGAGUUAGUCACAACACAUGGAGCUGUGGUUUCCUGUGACAGUGCCUAGAAAAUCAUCAUUUUUACCCACUACAAGAUUUCAACACCCUUUUAAGCCGUUUGUGAGUGAAGUCUUACCCCGGAGCUGAUGCUAUUGAAGAGAGACAAGGGAUUUUUUUUCUUCAAAUUAAGGACAUAGGGGCCCGGGCGUCACACCGCCAGGCAGGAGCUCUGUGUUGGCCUGCCCUGCCCGUAGGCCUGUGUUCUGUGACAGUAUCAGAAAGUGGACUAAGAUCCCCUUCCACUCCCCUACCCCACCAGAAAAAUAAAAGCUGAGGUCUCGUC